UGGGGAAUAUUGGACAAUGGGGGAAACCCUGAUCCAGCGACGCCGCGUGUGUGAAGAAGGCCUGCGGGUUGUAAAGCACUUUUAGUGGGGAUGAAAUGUGCAGGGUUAAUACCUCUGCAUUUUGACCUAACCCACAGAAAAAGCACCGGCUAACUCUGUGCCAGCAGCCGCGGUAAUACAGAGGGUGCAAGCGUUAAUCGGAAUUACUGGGCGUAAAGCGUGCGUAGACGGUUACAUAAGUCGGGUGUGAAAGCCCCGGGCUCAACCUGGGAAUUGCAUUCGAGACUGCGUAGCUAGGGUGCGGAAGAGGGAAGCGGAAUUUCCGGUGUAGCGGUGAAAUGCGUAGAUAUCGGAAGGAACACCAGUGGCGAAAGCGGCUUCCUGGUCCAGCACCGACGUUCAGGCACGAAAGCGUGGGGAGCAAACAGGAUUAGAUACCCCUGUAGUCC
RNAcentral lists this ribosomal RNA (449 nucleotides) under uncultured bacterium. RNAcentral describes it as "bacterial SSU rRNA". It matches the Rfam family "Bacterial small subunit ribosomal RNA", at positions 355 to 796 of the family's 1533-position model. The record is from RNAcentral.